This 265-nucleotide ribosomal RNA is filed under the name uncultured bacterium. Its description in RNAcentral is "partial 16S ribosomal RNA". It matches the Rfam family "Bacterial small subunit ribosomal RNA", at positions 793 to 1055 of the family's 1533-position model. The record is from RNAcentral.
GUCCACGCCGUAAACGAUGAAUACUAGGUGUUGGGGAGCAAAGCUCUUCGGUGCCGCAGCUAACGCAUUAAGUAUUCCACCUGGGGAGUACGUACGCAAGUAUGAAACUCAAAGGAAUUUACGGGGACCCGCACAAGCGGUGGAGCAUGUGGUUUAAUUCGAAGCAACGCGAAGAACCUUACCUGGUCUUGACAUCCCGGUGACCAUCUGAUGUAAUGUCGGACUUCCUACGGGACACUGGAGACAGGUGGUGCAUGGUUGUCGU